CCUACGGGUGGCAGCAGUGAGGAAUAUUGGUCAAUGGGCUUACGCCUGAACCAGCCAAGUCGCGUGAGGGACGACUGUCCUAUGCGUUGUAAACCUCUUUUGUCAGGGAGCAACGCCGGCUACGUGUACCCGGACUGAGAGUACCUGAAGAAAAAGCAUCGCCUAACUCCGUCCCAGCAGCCCCGUUAAUACGGAGGAUGGGACCGUUACCCGGAUGUAGUGGGUUGAAAGGGUGCGUGGGCGGACUGCAAGGUCAGCGGUAAAGGCGCGGGGCUCAACCUCGCUGCGCCGUUGAAACUGGCGGUCUUGAGUGGGCGAGAGGUAUGCGGAAUGCGUGGUGUAGCGGUGAAAUGCAUAGAUAUAGCGCAGAACUCCGAUUGCGAAGGCAGCAUACCGGCGCCGAACUGACGCUGAAGCACGAAAGCGUGGGUAUCGAACAGGAUUAGAUACCCCGGUAGUC
This 460-nucleotide ribosomal RNA is filed under the name uncultured bacterium. RNAcentral describes it as "partial 16S ribosomal RNA". It matches the Rfam family "Bacterial small subunit ribosomal RNA", at positions 338 to 795 of the family's 1533-position model. The record is from RNAcentral.